Molecule: ribosomal RNA, 437 nt
Filed under: uncultured bacterium
Lineage: Bacteria
Description: bacterial SSU rRNA
Rfam family: Bacterial small subunit ribosomal RNA
Source: RNAcentral
UUACGGGAGGCAGCAGUGGGGAAUAUUGCACAAUGGGGGAAACCCUGAUGCAGCAACGCCGCGUGAGUGAUGAAGGCCUUCGGGUUGUAAAGCUCUGUCUUUGGGGACGAUAAUGACGGUACCCAAGGAGGAAGCCACGGCUAACUACGUGCCAGCAGCCGCGGUAAUACGUAGGUGGCAAGCGUUGUCCGGAUUUACUGGGCGUAAAGGAUGCGUAGGCGGAUAUUUAAGUGAGAUGUGAAAUACCCGGGCUCAACUUGGGUGCUGCAUUUCAAACUGGAUAUCUAGAGUGCAGGAGAGGAAAGUGGAAUUCCUAGUGUAGCGGUGAAAUGCGUAGAGAUUAGGAAGAACAUCAGUGGCGAAGGCGACUUUCUGGACUGUAACUGACGCUGAGGCAUGAAAGCGUGGGGAGCAAACAGGAUUAGAUACCCGAGUAC